Molecule: ribosomal RNA, 253 nt
Filed under: uncultured bacterium
Lineage: Bacteria
Description: partial 16S ribosomal RNA
Rfam family: Bacterial small subunit ribosomal RNA
Source: RNAcentral
GACGUAGGGUGCGAGCGUUGUCCGGAUUUAUUGGGCGUAAAGAGCUCGUAGGCGGCUCGUCGCGUCGACCGUGAAAACCCGCGGCUUAACUGCGGGCUUGCGGUUGAUACGGGCGGGCUAGAGUUCGGUAGGGGAGACUGGAAUUCCUGGUGUAGCGGUGAAAUGCGUAGAUAUCAAGAGGAACACCUGAGGUGAAGACGGGUUGCUGGGCUGACACUGACGCUGAGGCGCGAAAGCCAGGGGAGCAAACGGG